This 465-nucleotide ribosomal RNA is filed under the name uncultured bacterium. Its description in RNAcentral is "partial 16S ribosomal RNA". It matches the Rfam family "Bacterial small subunit ribosomal RNA", at positions 338 to 795 of the family's 1533-position model. The record is from RNAcentral.
CCUACGUGAGGCUGCAGUAGGGAAUCUUCCACAAUGGGCGAAAGCCUGAUGGAGCAACGCCGCGUGGGUGAAGAAGGUCUUCGGAUCGUAAAACCCUGUUGUUAGAGAAGAAAGUGCGUGAGAGUAACUGUUCACGUUUCGACGGUAUCUAACCAGAAAGCCACGGCUAACUACGUGCCAGCAGCCGCGGUAAUACGUAGGUGGCAAGCGUUAUACGGGUUUAUUGGGCGUAAAGGGAACGCAGGCGGUCUUUUAAGUCUGAUGUGAAAGCCUUCGGCUUAACCGGAGUAGUGCAUUGGAAACUGGGAGACUUGAGUUCAGAAGAGGAGAGUGGAACUCCAUGUGUAGCGGUGAAAUGCGUAGAUAUAUGGAAGAACACCAGUGGCGAAAGCGGCUCUCUGGUCUGUAACUGACGCUGAGGUUCGAAAGCGUGGGUAGCAAACAGGAUUAGAUACCCUAGUAGUC